GCCAGCGUGGCGUAGUGGUUUGAGCAUUGGGCUGAGGCUCUGGAGAUCAGGGUUGGAUUCCUCGCUGGGC
This is a non-coding RNA of Phrynosoma platyrhinos (Desert horned lizard), 70 nucleotides long. NCBI's taxonomy places the organism in Eukaryota, Metazoa, Chordata, Lepidosauria, Squamata, Phrynosomatidae. The record is from the annotation of a GenBank genome assembly.